RNAcentral lists this transfer RNA (71 nucleotides) under Dolichorhinotermes tenebrosus. RNAcentral describes it as "tRNA-Val". The record is from RNAcentral. Lineage: Eukaryota; Metazoa; Arthropoda; Insecta; Blattodea; Rhinotermitidae.
CAGGCCUUGCCUUAUUAGUUUGGGAUUUCAUUUACACUGAGGUUUAUGUCGUGCAAUUCGACGUGGUCUGA